UACAGAGGUCCCGAGCGUUGUUCGGAUUCACUGGGCGUAAAGGGUGCGUAGGUGGCGUGGUAAGUUUGAUGUGAAAGCUCAGGGCUUAACCCUGAAAUGGCAUUGAAUACUACUGUGCUGGAGGUUUGGAGGGGGGACUGGAAUUCUUGGUGUAGCAGUGAAAUGCGUAGAUAUCAAGAGGAACACCAGUGGCGAAGGCGAGUCCCUGGACAACACCUGACACUGAGGCACGAAAGCUAGGGUAGCAAACGGG
Molecule: ribosomal RNA, 253 nt
Filed under: uncultured bacterium
Lineage: Bacteria
Description: partial 16S ribosomal RNA
Rfam family: Bacterial small subunit ribosomal RNA
Source: RNAcentral